Molecule: ribosomal RNA, 421 nt
Filed under: uncultured bacterium
Lineage: Bacteria
Description: bacterial SSU rRNA
Rfam family: Bacterial small subunit ribosomal RNA
Source: RNAcentral
GAAUAUUGGACAAUGGCUGAAAAGCUGAUCCAGCCAUCCCGCGUGAAGGCAGAAGGUCCUAUGGAUUGUAAACUUCUUUUCUCUGGGAAGAAAACCUCUUAUUCACUAAGAGACUGACGGUACCAGAGGAAUAAGCACCGGCCAACUCCGUGCCAGCAGCCGCGGUAAUACGGAGGGUGCAAGCGUUAUCCGGAUUCACUGGGUGUAAAGGGUGCGUAGGCGGGCUUGUAAGUCAGUGGUGAAAGCCCGGGGCUUAACUCCGGAACUGCCGUUGAUACUGCAGGCCUUGAGUGCACUUGAGGUGGGCGGAAUACAUCAUGUAGUGGUGAAAUACUUAGAUAUGAUGUAGAACACCGAUUGCGAAGGCAGCUCACUAAAUUGCAACUGACGCUGAGGCACGAAAGCGUGGGGAUCAAACAGG